AUAGCCUUCGGUAAACCCUCUGAAAGGAGGGGGGCACGAAGCCAUGGGUCUAAAGUAUUCAGCUAUGAUCGCCGGGCUGCAGCAA
The submitters of this non-coding RNA (85 nucleotides) gave its source as unclassified sequences. The record is from Rfam.